Long non-coding RNA from Oncorhynchus tshawytscha (Chinook salmon), 1352 nucleotides. Lineage: Eukaryota; Metazoa; Chordata; Actinopteri; Salmoniformes; Salmonidae. The record is from Ensembl.
AUAACAACUACAGGUCAAACAUGGAAAUAGUUCACAUAGUUUUUCCACCAUUCAUUUUUCCCACAGGGCUGUGUUUUGUUUAGGCUCACCGUGGUGUGAUGUUUUGAUAACCAUGUAAAUCUCUCUAGGACAAGGUGACUGAGGGUGAAUGUACACUAGAUAAAUAGCGGUAAAUUGCUGUGUGCCGCUUAGGCCGCCCGUUGUGACUCCGGCAAGAAUUCAGCAGAACAAGUUUGUAUGUAGGUCUGGUUAUUAAAUGGGUACAUAGUUCAUUAGUAAUAUCCUCUAAAACGCUCUGGUGACAAACUUUGCUGCCCUAUUUCCAGUUGUCCAAAUGGCUGGGAGAACCUAUUCAAGUAGCUAGCUAACAGCCAUGGAGGGUGAAAGGAUAGCAGCCCCAACUGUCAGUGAGAGAGGAGAGAGGAGGCUAUUCUGGAUAAGGCAGGUACUUUUGUGUAGUUCCUGUUCCUAGAAGUGAGGACUAAGAUAAUAGUAACAUAAUAUUCAGUGUGGUGUAAUUUGACUAGAAUGAAAUCUGUUUCUUGUGAGGUUUUCUGUCCUCAGAUAAAGAGCGCUAUGAAAGCCAGUCUACAUAUGAAGAGGUCCCAAUGAAGAGCAGUGGUUCUCAGUCCUGGGGACUCAAAGAGGGGCAUAUUGUUGUUUUUGCCUCAGCACUGCACAGCUGAUUCAAAUGAUAAACUCAUUAUCAAGCUUCAAGUGAUACCUUGUAACUGGAGAUUCCUUCAAAACAUUUGCCUACAGUUACCGUGUAGGGCACUGCAAGGUCAGGUGACCAGGGUGUGAAGGCUACCGGUGUCCUGCGUAACUUCAUGAAGAUGGACUCUAGGACCAGGAGAGGACCUGCAGCUCACCGCCAAGUGCCAGAGAAGUCUGCUGCUCUGCAGGAUUGUUCAGUCAUUUUUUUAUCAAUGUUCAUAAAUUCCAAUUAUCUUUAUCUGUCUGAUACCCAGAGGUUGUAAAGUUCUGGUCUUAAAUAAAACAGACAGAAUUCCCAGCUCACAGUUGAUCAGAUCCAAGUUUAUUUGCGAGAGCUCUGCCGUGCAUACACAAAUACGUUCCUUUUAUAACAUUCUAACCUACGCACAUACAUACACACAAACAUAGGGAUUUUCUCACGAGUCUCACCACAGUUUAUAACCACUCAGCUGACAGUUCCAGUCUCCCCCAGAUACUAGAGCUCUGGAGGGGCUCUCCCUGUCCUAUCUUAUCUCUCCAGAGUUACAGCCAGGUCGGUUCAAACAUAGGUUAAUGCUCCUCUUCAUUCUCUUUCUACACCCACAUACAUUCCUUUCUUCCUAGAUCUAUGCUACAUAACCCCUUCCUAAUGAACA